UACGUAGGGUGCAAGCGUUGUCCGGAAUUAUUGGGCGUAAAGAGCUCGUAGGCGGUUUGUCGCGUCUGCUGUGAAAACUCGGGGCUCAACUCCGAGCUUGCAGUGGGUACGGGCAGACUAGAGUGCGGUAGGGGAGACUGGAAUUCCUGGUGUAGCGGUGGAAUGCGCAGAUAUCAGGAGGAACACCGGUGGCGAAAGCGGCAUCCUGGACCGGCAUUGACGCUGAGGCGCGAAAGCCAGGGGAGCAAACGGG
RNAcentral lists this ribosomal RNA (253 nucleotides) under uncultured bacterium. Its description in RNAcentral is "partial 16S ribosomal RNA". It matches the Rfam family "Bacterial small subunit ribosomal RNA", at positions 524 to 776 of the family's 1533-position model. The record is from RNAcentral.